AUGGCAGAGCUGGUGGUCACCAUGGCGAUCGGGCCACUGGUGUCCAUGCUGAAGGACAAGGCGUCCAGCUACCUCCUGGACCAGUACAAGGUCAUGGAGGGAAUGGAGGAGCAGCACAAGAUUCUGAAACGCAAGCUUCCGGCCAUCCUCGACGUCAUCACCGAUGUCGAGGAGCAGGCCAUGGCACAGAGAGAAGGUGCCAAAGCCUGGCUUCAGGAGCUCAGGACAGUCGCCUAUGUGGCAAAUGAAGUCUUCGACGAAUUCAAGUACGAAGCCCUACGCCGUGAAGCCAAGAAGAAUGGGCACUACAGAAAGCUCGGCUUCGAUGUAAUUAAACUCUUCCCUACUCACAACCGUGUUGCAUUCCGUUACAAAAUGGGUCGCAAGCUUUGCCUGAUUCUGCAAGCCGUUGAGGUCCUCAUAGCAGAGAUGCAGGUCUUUGGGUUCAAGUACCAACCACAGCCACCGGUGUCCAAAGAGUGGAGGCAUACAGAUUAUGUUAGCAUUGACCCACAAGAAAUUGCCAGCAGAUCCAGACACGAAGAUAAGAAGAACAUUAUUGGUAUACUAGUUGAUGAAGCUAGCAAUGCAGAUCUCACAGUUGUUCCUGUGGUUGCAAUGGGGGGCCUUGGCAAGACCACAUUAGCGCAACUCAUAUACAAUGAUCCUGAAAUUCAGAAGCAUUUCCAGUUGCUGCUCUGGGUUUGUGUCUCUGAUACCUUUGAUGUGAACUCCUUGGCCAAGAGUAUAGUUGAAGCAUCCCCCAAUAAGAAUGUUGAUACAGACAAACCACCAUUGGAUAGACUUCAAAAACUGGUCAGCGGACAGCGGUAUCUCCUUGUAUUGGAUGAUGUUUGGGACAACAAAGAGUUACGUAAGUGGGAAAGGCUCAAGGUUUGCUUGCAUGGUGGCAUGGGCAGUGCAGUGUUGACAACAACUCGUGAUAAACGAGUUUCUGAAAUUAUGGGUGCAGACAGGGCUGCCUACAAUCUCAAUGCUUUGGAGGAUCACUUCAUAAAGGAAAUUAUUGUGGAUAGAGCAUUCAGUUCAGAGAAUGGAAAGCCUCCCGAGCUACUCGAGAUGGUUGGUGAGAUUGUGAAGAGAUGUUGUGGCUCUCCAUUAGCUGCAAGUGCACUGGGCUCUGUACUUCGUACCAAGACCACCGUGAAAGAAUGGAAUGCUAUAGCAUCUAGAAGCAGCAUUUGCACUGAGGAAACUGGAAUCUUGCCAAUACUCAAGCUUAGCUACAACGACUUGCCAUCGCACAUGAAGCAGUGCUUUGCUUUUUGUGCUGUAUUUCCAAAGGAUUACAAGAUUGAUGUAGCGAAGUUGAUCCAACUAUGGAUCGCAAAUGGCUUUAUCCCUGAACACAAGGAAGAUAGUCUUGAAACCAUUGGACAACUUAUUUUUGAUGAGCUUGCUUCAAGGUCAUUCUUUCUGGAUAUAGAGAAGAGUAAAGAAGACUGGGAGUAUUAUUCCAGAACAACAUGUAAAAUCCACGAUCUUAUGCAUGAUAUUGCAAUGUCUGUUAUGGAAAAGGAAUGUGUUGUUGCAACUAUGGAACCAAGUGAAAUUGAGUGGCUUCCAGAUACUGCUCGGCAUUUGUUCUUGUCAUGUGAAGAAACGGAACGUAUUUUGAAUGAUUCUAUGGAGGAAAGAUCCCCUGCUAUUCAAACAUUGCUAUGUGAUAGUAAUGUGUUCAGCCCAUUGCAGCAUCUAUCAAAAUACAACACUUUGCAUGCCUUGAAGCUCUGUCUGGGAACAGAAUCAUUUCUACUCAAACCAAAGUAUCUGCAUCACCUGAGGUACCUUGAUCUCUCAGAAAGUUCUAUCAAAGCACUUCCUGAGGAUAUAAGUAUUCUAUAUAACCUGCAAGUGCUGGACCUUUCCAACUGCUGUUAUCUUGAACGACUUCCAAGGCAAAUGAAGUAUAUGACUUCCCUCUGCCACCUCUACACUCAUGAAUGUCCAGAGUUGAAGAGCAUGCCUCCAGGACUUGAAAAUCUCACUAAGCUGCAGACACUCACAGUUUUUGUAGCAGGAGUUCCUGGCCCUGAUUGCGCUGAUGUUGGAGAGCUGCAUGGUCUAAACAUUGGUGGUCAGCUAGAGCUAUGCCAGGUAGAGAAUGUUGAAAAAGCAGAAGCAAAAGUGGCAAACCUUGGAAACAAGAAGGAUCUCAGAGAACUGUCAUUAAGAUGGACUAAGGUUGGCGACAGCAAGGUGCUCGACAAGUUCGAACCUCAUGGUGGGCUGCAGGUUCUGCAAAUAUAUUCAUAUGGAGGAGAGUGCAUGGGUAUGUUGCAAAACAUGGUUGAGAUCCACCUUUUUCACUGUGAAAGAUUGCGAUUUUUGUUCAGAUGCAGUACAAUCUUCACUUUUCCAAGACUGAAGGUGCUUACGCUAGAACAUUUGUUGGCUUUUGAGAGAUGGUGGGAAAUAGAUGAGUGGCAAGUAGAACAGACAAUAUUUCCUGUGCUUGAGAAGUUGUUUAUGAGCAAUUGUGGAAAGUUGGUAGCAUUACCCGAAGCACCAUUGCUGCGAGGACCUUGUGGUGAGGGUGGUUAUACAUUGGUACACUCAGCGUUUCCUGCCCUAAAGGUACUCAAAAUGGAAGAUUUGGAGAGCUUUCGGAGAUGGGAUGCAGUCGAAGAGACUCAAGGAGAACAGAUAUUGUUUCCUUGUCUUGAGGAACUGUCAAUUGAGAAAUGCCCAGAGCUGAUAAAUUUACCUGAAGCACCAUUGCUUGAAGAACCAUGUAGCGGAGGUGGUUAUAGAUUGGUACGUUCAGCCUUUCCUGCCCUCAAGGUGCUCAAAAUGAAAUGCUUGGGGAGUUUUCAGAGAUGGGAUGGUGCUGCCAAAGGUGAACAAAUAUUUUUUCCACAGCUUGAGAAACUAUCAGUUCAGCAAUGCCCAAUGUUGAUAGAUUUACCUGAGGUACCAAAAAUCAGUGUGUUAGAAAUUGAAGAUGGCAAGCAAGAGAUCUUCCAGUUUGUGGACAGAUAUUUGUCCUCAUUGACCAAUCUGAUACUGGAGCUAAAAAAUACAGAAACAACAUCAGAGGCUGAAUGCACUUCAAUUCUACCUGUGGACAGCAAAGAGAAAUGGAACCAGAAAUCCCCUCUUACAGUUCUGGAGUUGGGAUGCUGCAACUCAUUCUUUGGACCAGGUGCACUAGAGCCGUGGGGCUAUUUUGUACACCUUGAAAACUUGGAAAUUGAUAGAUGUGAUGUGCUCGUCCACUGGCCAGAGAAUGUGUUCCAAAGCUUGGUAUCCUUGAGGACAUUACUGAUUAGAAACUGCAAAAAUCUGACUGGAUAUGCACAAGCUCCUCUUGAGCCAUUGGCAUCCGAAAGGAGUGAACACCCGAGAGGUCUGGAGUCUCUUUGCUUAGAAAGAUGCCCAAGUUUAGUAGAGAUGUUCAACGUCCCGGCAUCUCUCAAGAAAAUGGGUAUUUAUGGGUGCAUUAAGCUUGAGUCCAUAUUGGGCAAGCAGCAGGGCAUGGCAGAGUUAGUCCAAGUGUCUUCUAGCAAUGAGGCAAUCAUGCCUGCAGCUGUAUCAGAGUUGCCAUCCUCACCCAUGAAUCACUUUUGUCCAUGCCUAGAAUAUCUAUGUUUAUUUGGAUGUGAAAGCUUACCAGCGGUUCUACAUCUGCCUUUGUCCUUAAAGACCAUAUGGAUUGAUGGCUGCAGUAGUAUUCAAGUCCUAUCAUGCCAGCUGGGUGGGCUCCAGAAACCAGAAGCCACUACCUCCAGAAGCAGAAGUCCUAUCAGCAACUAG
RNAcentral lists this ribosomal RNA (3777 nucleotides) under Triticum aestivum (bread wheat). Its description in RNAcentral is "partial small subunit ribosomal RNA". The record is from RNAcentral. Lineage: Eukaryota; Viridiplantae; Streptophyta; Magnoliopsida; Poales; Poaceae.